Molecule: ribosomal RNA, 470 nt
Filed under: uncultured Methanosaeta sp.
Lineage: Archaea; Methanobacteriati; Methanobacteriota; Methanomicrobia; Methanotrichales; Methanotrichaceae
Description: bacterial SSU rRNA
Rfam family: Archaeal small subunit ribosomal RNA
Source: RNAcentral
GACGGGGAGCACCACAACGGGUGGAGCUUGCGGUUUAAUUGGAUUCAACGCCGGAAAUCUUACCGGGACCGACAGCAAUAUGAAGGCCAGGCUGAAGACUUUGCCGGAUUAGCUGAGAGGUGGUGCAUGGCCGUCGUCAGUUCGUACUGUGAAGCAUCCUGUUAAGUCAGGCAACGAGCGAGACCCACGCCCACAGUUGCCAGCGUACUCUCUGGAGUGACGGGUACACUGUGGGACCGCCGCUGCUAAAGCGGAGGAAGGAAUGGGCAACGGUAGGUCAGUAUGCCCCGAAUAUCCCGGGCUACACGCGAGCUACAAUGGUUGGUACAAUGGGUAUCUACCCCGAAAGGGGACGGGAAUCUCCUAAAACCAAUCUUAGUUCGGAUUGAGGGCUGCAACUCGCCCUCAUGAAGCUGGAAUCCGUAGUAAUCGCGUUUCAACAGAACGCGGUGAAUACGUCCCUGCUCCUU